CUACGGGACGCUCCAGUGGGGAAUAUUGGGCAAUGGGCGCAAGCCUGACCCAGCAACGCCGCGUGAGGGAAGAAGGUUUUCGGAUUGUAAACCUCUGUCCUUGGGGACGAAGAAGUGACGGUACCCAAGGAGGAAGCUCCGGCUAACUACGUGCCAGCAGCCGCGGUAAUACGUAGGGAGCAAGCGUUGUCCGGAAUUACUGGGCGUAAAGGGUGCGUAGGCGGCAUAUUAAGUCAGGUGUGAAAUACUCGGGCUCAACCCGGGGGCUGCAUUUGAAACUGAUAUGCUUGAGUGUGAGAGAGGAAAGUGGAAUUCCUAGUGUAGCGGUGGAAUGCGUAGAUAUUAGGAGGAACACCAGUGGCGAAGGCGACUUUCUGGCUCAUAACUGACGCUGAGGCACGAAAGCGUGGGGAGCAAACAGGAUUAGAUACCCUAGUAGUC
Molecule: ribosomal RNA, 441 nt
Filed under: uncultured bacterium
Lineage: Bacteria
Description: partial 16S ribosomal RNA
Rfam family: Bacterial small subunit ribosomal RNA
Source: RNAcentral